UGCUUAAUACAUGCAAGCCGAGCGGUUGUAGCAAUACGACAGCGGCGCACGGGUGAGUAACACGUAAAUAACCUGGCUUUAAGUUUGGAAUAACCAUCCCAAAGGGUGGCUAAUACCGGAUGUGGUAAUUUUAAGGCAUCUUAGAAUUAUUAAAGAUUUAUCGCUUAAAGAUGGAUUUGCGGAACAUUAGCUUGUUGGUGAGGUAGAGGCUUACCAAGGCGAUGAUGUUUAGCCGGCCUGAGAGGGUGAUCGGCCACAAUGGGACUGAGACACGGCCCAUACUCCUACGGGAGGCAGCAGUAAGGAAUAUUGCGCAAUGGAUGAAAGUCUGACGCAGCAACUCCGCGUGAUGGACGAAGGUUUUCGGAUUGUAAACAUCUUUUGUCAGAGAAGAAAAAAUUAAAAUUGACGGUAUCUGACGAAUAAGCUCCGGCUAAAUAUGUGCCAGCAGCCGCGGUAAUACAUAUGGAGCGAGCGUUACUCGGAAUCACUGGGCGUAAAGGGUGCGUAGGCUGUUUAAUAAGUCGUUGUUUUAACUUACGGGCUUAACCUGUUAUGUGAUAGCGAUACUGUUAGACUUGAAUACUUGAGGGGUAAAUGGAAUUUCCGGUGUAGCGGUGGAAUGCGUAGAUAUCGGAAAGAACACCGAUGGCGAAGGCAGUUUACUGGUAAGUCAUUGACGCUGAAGCACGAGGGUGUGGGUAGCAAACAGGAUUAGAUACCCUGGUAGUCCACACAGUAAACGAUGGACAUUAGUCGUCUGGCAGCAAUGUUGGGUGGCGUAGAUAACUUGAUAAAUGUCCCGCCUGGGUAGUACGACCGCAAGGUUGAAACCCAAAGAAAUUGACGGGGACCCGCACAAGCGGUGGAGCAUGUGCUUUAAUUCGAUGCAACGCGAAGAACCUUACCUGGUCUUGACAUAGUUCUGCCCGGUUCAGAGAUGAAUCUUUCAGCAAUGACAGGACAUACAGAUGCUGCAUGGUUGUCGUCAGCUCGUGUCGUGAGAUGUUGGGUUAAGUCCCGCAACGAGCGCAACCCUUGCCGAUAGUUGCCAACAGGUAAUGCUGGGGACUCUAUUGGGACUGCCUUCGCAAGGAGGAGGAAGGUGGGGAUGACGUCAAAUCAUCAUGGCUCUUACGACCAGGGCUA
This 1149-nucleotide ribosomal RNA is filed under the name uncultured Chitinivibrionia bacterium. RNAcentral describes it as "bacterial SSU rRNA". It matches the Rfam family "Bacterial small subunit ribosomal RNA", at positions 45 to 1216 of the family's 1533-position model. The record is from RNAcentral. Lineage: Bacteria; Pseudomonadati; Fibrobacterota; Chitinivibrionia.